RNAcentral lists this ribosomal RNA (230 nucleotides) under uncultured bacterium. Its description in RNAcentral is "partial 16S ribosomal RNA". It matches the Rfam family "Bacterial small subunit ribosomal RNA", at positions 111 to 334 of the family's 1533-position model. The record is from RNAcentral.
UAACACGUAGGUAACCUGCCCAUGUGUCUGGGAUAACUGCUGGAAACGGUAGCUAAAACCGGAUAGGUAUACGGAGCGCAUGCUCUGUAUAUUAAAGCGCCCUUCAAGGCGUGAACAUGGAUGGACCUGCGGCGCAUUAGCUAGUUGGUGAGGUAACGGCCCACCAAGGCGAUGAUGCGUAGCCGGCCUGAGAGGGUAAACGGCCACAUUGGGACUGAGACACGGCCCAA